This is a long non-coding RNA of Anthonomus grandis grandis, 1806 nucleotides long. RefSeq lists it as uncharacterized. The record is from RefSeq and is a predicted model, not a curated record. The transcript has 4 exons. Lineage: Eukaryota; Metazoa; Arthropoda; Insecta; Coleoptera; Curculionidae.
CAGAUGAUAAAAAUAUGAUUGCUUCUCAGUUAAUACAAGGUGAAAAUACCUGGAUUUAUUGUAUACAGUUUUUAAUAUUAUGUUUUUAAUAGUUCCCCACACUGAGAUAUUAAAAAAAAUAAGACAGAGUGUUGAUAUUAACUUCGAAAGAAUACAUUUGACGACUAAGCACGAUAUUCACAAUAUCAUGCAAUCAUAUAAUUUGCAUGAUACAGCUAUAAGGCAUCAAAAUGACUCGCAAAGUGUAGAUUUGUGGGUGACUCAAGUAAGUACAAUCCAGCAAUGAAAAUUGCAUUUUAUUGUACAAAAAACAAGGAGAACAUCAUCCUAGCUUUUGUUUAAAAAAUUAAGACUUUUUAUUGGAUUUAAUGACUAACUGUCAAGGCGAGAUGUUAAAAAAGUUUGGAAGUGGAGGUAUCAUAUGCAUGGAUGCUACACAUGGAACAAACCCAUAUGAUUUUAAGCCAGUUUCAAUUUUGGUGGUGGAUGAUUUUGGGGAAGGCUUUCCAGUAGCAUACUUAUUUUCAAGUAGGGAAGAUUAUAUAGUUUUAAAAUAUUUUGUAACUGCUGUAAAAGAAUCUGUUGGGACUAUUAGGGCUACAUCAUUCAUGAGUGAUGAUGCAGAACAGUAUUUUGCAGCUUGAAGCUCGGUAAUGGAUACUGUUGAAACCAAAAAACUUUUAUGCAUGUGGCAUGUUGACAGAGCGUGGAGAUCCAAAGUAAUAGCCAUAAAAGACAAAUCUAAACAAGCUCAAGUAUAUAAAAUGUUAUGCACCUUAAGACAAGAACCAGAUUUCACCAAGUUUAAUGAAUAUUUAAUAGGAUUUAUGAACGUAUUAUCAAAAGAUCCAGAUUUAAGAAUAUUUAAGGACUAUUUUGAGAAAGAGUAUCUACCUAGAUGUUUAGUAUGGGCUGCUUGUUUUCGAGUAGGAACAGGAAUUAAUACAAAUAUGUAUCUUGAGUCCAUGCAUAAAGUUUUAAAAUAUAUCUACUUGAAAGGUGUUGCUUGUAGAAGAUUGGAUAAAACUGUGCAUGUUCCAUUACAAUAUGUGAAGGACAAACAAUUUGAAAGAAUUAUCAAGUUGGAAAAAAGCAAAGUCACUACAAAAAUAAGCAGGAUCAACAAAAGCCAUAUCAAUGCAAUAAAUUCCACAAAUAUGAUUGUUUCUACUUGUGAAAAUGGGUGGAUUGUAACAUCUAAAGACAUAUCUUGUAUCCAUAUCUUGUGACAGAGAAUAAGCUCAACGAAGGUCAUACAUGUAAAUUGAAAUGCUCCUCAUGCCUAUUCUGUGUUCACAUGUAUACAUGUAAUUGCAUGGAUUUUGUUGUAAAUUAUAAUAUGUGCAAACAUAUUCAUAAGAUAUGCAUGAAUAUGCCAGGACAAAGCACAUUUGUAGAUGAAAACCGUAAUGAAGAACUAACAUAUCAUAAAUCAUCAUUAAAAAAUCCAAACAUAAGUAACAUUGACAAUAAAAUUAGAGAGAAUAUUAAUUAUCUUCAAUGUUUUGACUGGAGGAAUAUCACAGAUCCCCAAAUAAAAAAUAAAAUAAACAGUUUUCUUCUAUCUGCUGUAAAACUAGCUGAUAUAAAAAGUGACGCAAGAUUUACCUUAUCUCCAAAAAAUAUAGCCGGUCCAGCGAAUAAAAAAAUUGUAGCUCAGAAUCGAUUUUUUUCUACAAUAAAAAAGAAGACAAAGAAGACAUCUACUCCUCGACUGGCGAAACCAAACCUACAGGAGAAAAAAGAUAUACAGGCGCAGUUGGAAAACAUUUUAUAAGAGUGUUGGAUAUAUAUUUUUUUUAAUAU